AUUGAACGCUGGCGGCAGGCUUAACACAUGCAAGUCGAGCGGAGAUGAGGUGCUUGCACCUUAUCUUAGCGGCGGACGGGUGAGUAAUGCUUAGGAAUCUGCCAUUUAGUGGGGGACAACAUUCCGAAAGGAAUGCUAAUACCGCAUACGUCCUACGGGAGAAAGCAGGGGAUCUUCGGACCUUGCGCUAAAUGAUGAGCCUAAGUCGGAUUAGCUAGUUGGUGGGGUAAAGGCCUACCAAAGCGACGAUCUGUAGCGGGUCUGAGAGGAUGAUCCGCCACACUGGGACUGAGACACGGCCCAGACUCCUACGGGAGGCAGCAGUGGGGAAUAUUGGACAAUGGGCGGAAGCCUGAUCCAGCCAUGCCGCGUGUGUGAAGAAGGCCUUUUGGUUGUAAAGCACUUUAAGCGAGGAGGAGGCUAUUAGUACUAAUACUACUGGAUAGUGGACGUUACUCGCAGAAUAAGCACCGGCUAACCUCGUGCCAGCCGCCGCAGUAA
This 501-nucleotide ribosomal RNA is filed under the name uncultured bacterium. RNAcentral describes it as "partial 16S ribosomal RNA". It matches the Rfam family "Bacterial small subunit ribosomal RNA", at positions 30 to 523 of the family's 1533-position model. The record is from RNAcentral.